GAUUAAGUUAUUAAGGGCGCACGGUGGAUGCCUUGGCACUAGAAGCCGACGAAGGACGUUACUAACGACGAUAUGCUUUGGGGAGCUGUAAGUAAGCUUUGAUCCAGAGAUUUCCGAAUGGGGAAACCCAGCACGAGUUAUGUCGUGUUAUCUGCAUGUGAAUACAUAGCAUGCAAGAAGGCAGACCCGGAGAACUGAAACAUCUUAGUACCCGGAGGAAGAGAAAGAAAAAUCGAUUCCCUGAGUAGCGGCGAGCGAAACGGGAAGAGCCCAAACCAAUAAGCUUGCUUAUUGGGGUUGUAGGACACUCUGCACGGAGUUACAAAAGAAUU
Molecule: ribosomal RNA, 332 nt
Filed under: Staphylococcus pseudintermedius
Lineage: Bacteria; Bacillati; Bacillota; Bacilli; Caryophanales; Staphylococcaceae
Description: partial 23S ribosomal RNA
Rfam family: Bacterial large subunit ribosomal RNA
Source: RNAcentral